Long non-coding RNA from Oncorhynchus tshawytscha (Chinook salmon), 371 nucleotides. The record is from Ensembl. NCBI's taxonomy places the organism in Eukaryota, Metazoa, Chordata, Actinopteri, Salmoniformes, Salmonidae.
AAUUAUGAAAUUACAUUAACAGUAAGUAUUUCACUGUAAGGUCUACACCUGUUGUAUUUCACUGUAAGGUCUACACCUGUUGUAUUUCACUGUAAGGUCUACACCUGAUGUAUUUCACUGUAAGGUCUACACCUGAUGUAUUUCACUGUAAGGUCUACACCUGAUGUAUUUCACUGUAAGGUCUACACCUGUUGUAUUUCACUGUAAGGUCUACACCUGUUGUAUUUCACUGUAAGGUCUACACCUGAUGUAUUUCACUGUAAGGUCUACACCUGUUGUAUUUCACUGUAAGGUCUACACCUGUUGUAUUCAGCGCACUAAUAACAUUUGAUUUUAAUGUUUUAAUCUGAUUACUUCAAAAGUCUCCUGUA